RNAcentral lists this transfer RNA (62 nucleotides) under Ornithodoros porcinus. RNAcentral describes it as "tRNA-Cys". It matches the Rfam family "tRNA". Rfam says of the family: Transfer RNA (tRNA) molecules are approximately 80 nucleotides in length. The record is from RNAcentral. Lineage: Eukaryota; Metazoa; Arthropoda; Arachnida; Ixodida; Argasidae.
AAUCAUAUAGUUUAAGGAAAAUGUUAAAUUGCAAAUUUAAAGAUGGUUUUCACCUAAGAUUU